UUGAAUUUGAUAUUGCACAGCUUCCUUCAGAUCCUGGAUUGAGGGUUCCAAUACAAAAUUAUGAUGCUAAUGUUUGAGAUGUAAUUCGAAGAGCAUAAGUGCAAAGGGGUCCAUGUCAGCCUCGCAAUCAUGAAUUUCCACCUAAAAAAUGGCUAAAAAAGAUAGGUGAUUUUGUGUUUCAUGGUAUAACGAGUAUCCUAGUUGGUUGGAAUACAGUAUAGGAAAAAAAGCUGUAUUUUGCUUAAACUGCUAUCUUUUUAGCUCAAGUUGUGGUUCAUUUGUUAAUAGUGGGUUCUCAAAUCGGAAAAGAAAGGAAAUUAUUAGAAAACAUGUUGGGGCACCCCAAAUAGUGUACACUAUCAGGCUCGGGUCGGGUAUGAAUCAUUCAAAAAUCAAGGACAAAGCAUUCAAUUGUGUUUCUUUAAGCAAUUACAUCAAGUUCGAACAGAGUAUUGAAUUCAUUUGAAUGCAUCAAUUGGUUGUGUUCGGUUUAUUCUACGACAAUGGAUGGACAUGGUGAAUUUGAAGAUUCAAACAAUCGAGGAAACUUUCUUAAACUAAUACAUUGGUUGUGAUAUCAUAAUACUGAGAUUAAGGUUGUUGCUUUGAUGAAUGCACUUGAAAAUCACAAAUUGACAUCACCACAAGUUCAGAAAGAUAUUGUGAGUGCUAUCGCUUCUGCAACUCUUAAUGUGAUUUUCAAAGAUAUGGGAGAUGACUUGUUUUCUAUUGUAGUUGAUGAAUUUCGAGACAAUUCAAUGAAGAAUAAAUGUCAAUUAUCAUUCGUUAUGUAUAGAAUGGGCGUGUAUUGAAAUAUUUUAUUGGUGUCACGCAUGUUUGAAGUACCACAGCUAAUGUACUUAAGAUUGCAAUUUAUCAAUUAUUCUCCAUUCAUAACUUAAGUACAUCUAAUAUUAGAGGUUAAGGAUAUGAUGGAGUGAGUAAUAUGCGAGGUGGGAGAUUAUUCCUGUUAUGUGCAGCAAUUUUAUAUAUGGAAUUUGGGAUUCAAUAUUUCAAUUUCUUAUUCAUGUAAUUGUAACCCUUUUUUUUGUGUGCACUGUGCAGCUUCUUCAUUACAGUAUUUUCAUUCUUGAAAGCUAAGGUUCUUGCACUAGGAGAGGAAGAGAGGAGAGAGAAAUUAAAGGUUCUACUUACUUUCCCUGUUUCCCGUUUCUUCAGUUUCCAUACAUUUAUUCUUGUUUUUAAGAUUUGUGUUUAAGUUCUUAGAUGGUUAUGGAGGGGAAGGUCUAUAUGUUGAGAGUUUCUUAUACAUGCCCAUUUCAAGAAAUUCCGUUUCCAAAACAAAAAAUAACUUACCAGCAUUAUUUUGGUGAAAAAAAGAAGGAAAAAUGGAAGCCAAUUUGUUCUUUGAGACUUUGAUUUGUUCAAGAAAGCUUUUUCUGUUUGUAAAUUAUAAUCCAACUUCCAUGGAGAGGUUUAGGUGGCAGAAUUAUUGAAAAAAAUUGGUCAAUUUCAAGCUCUAAUUGGAAAUUGGAAUUAUGGCUGCGUUUGGGACCUUGGGUGUCUUGUUUACUACUAAUUUAUGAAAAUUAUUCACGUCUCCUUUGAAUUGUGUUGAUAAUGAAUGUUGAUACACAGAUAAUAUAAAUUAUGGAAUAUUUUUGUACUGUCUUCUGCUUUUUGUUAAAUCCUUUUUUUCUAUUAGUUGAAAUAUAUAUGUAGUGUUGAUUGCUCGCAUUGCCCCACCAUUCUAUUGUAUUGCUACUUGCUUCCAGUCCUCCAUCGUCGUCCGCCAGAGUAUUAAGAUUAGUAUAGCGUUCUGAUUUUAAUUCGCGUCCGAUGGCUCUGGUCAAUUUAUGAUUUUAGCGAAUUUGUGAUUUGUGAAUAUGUGAUUUGUAAAUUCGUGAUUGGAUAAUUAAUUCGUGAUUUGUGUUUGUCAAUUGUGAUUCGUGAGAUUUAGUUGUGGACUGCAUCAACAAUUCAAAAUAGAUACAACAUUAUUAUUGAGAUUGUAGUUUAUGAAACCGUUAAAAGUAGUAACUUAAACCAUUAUUCAUUAUUGAUAGACUGAUUACUUUUUCACUUGAAUUGAUUCUUCUCAUUGUAUGUUUGUAUCAGUUAUGGAAAAGAAUUUUAAACGUAAAUCUGCGUUUUCUUGCGAUGAGCAAAAUGUUAAUGGAAGAAAUGUUCAAGAUAAAAGGGAUGGACAUGAUGCUGAAGAUAAAAAGGAUGACAAACUUGGGGAUGAAAUGAAUGAAAUUGGUGGAACUAAUAUUGGAGAUGUCCCAAUUGAAACAAUUAUCAGGAAUGUUGGAGAUGAAAGGCUUGAAUUUGAUAUUGCACAGCUUCCUUCAGAUCCUGGAUUGAGGGUUCCAAUACAAAAUUAUGAUGCUAAUGUUUGAAAUGUAAUUCGAAGAGCAUAUGUGCAAAGGGGUCCAUGUCAGCCUCGCAAUCAUGAAUUUCCACCUAAAAAAUGGCUAAAAAAGAUAGGUGAUUUUGUGUUUCAUGGUAUAACGAGUAUCCUAGUUGGUUGGAAUACAGUAUAGGAAAAAAAGCUGUAUUUUGCUUAAACUGCUAUCUUUUUAGCUCAAGUUGUGGUUCAUUUGUUAAU
Molecule: long non-coding RNA, 2572 nt
Filed under: Olea europaea (common olive)
Lineage: Eukaryota; Viridiplantae; Streptophyta; Magnoliopsida; Lamiales; Oleaceae
Description: long non-coding RNA (OEUR_LNC015368)
Source: RNAcentral